CAGUAGCCGCGGUAAUACGUAGGGUGCAAGCGUUAAUCGGAAUUACUGGGCGUAAAGCGUGCGCAGGCGGUUAUAUAAGACAGUUGUGAAAUCCCCGGGCUCAACCUGGGAACUGCAUCUGUGACUGUAUAGCUAGAGUACGGUAGAGGGGGAUGGAAUUCCGCGUGUAGCAGUGAAAUGCGUAGAUAUGCGGAGGAACACCGAUGGCGAAGGCAAUCCCCUGGACCUGUACUGACGCUCAUGCACGAAAGCGUGGGGAGCAAACAGGAUUAGAUACCCCCGUAGUCCCUGUCUCUUAUAA
This 301-nucleotide ribosomal RNA is filed under the name uncultured bacterium. RNAcentral describes it as "partial 16S ribosomal RNA". It matches the Rfam family "Bacterial small subunit ribosomal RNA", at positions 509 to 809 of the family's 1533-position model. The record is from RNAcentral.